GAUAAAGUACUUCCAAUAUAGUAAAAAUUGGCAGUCUGAGGAUUUUGCAUUGAACCUCUUUUAAAAUGGUGAUGAAAGACCACACAUGUUGAAGAUAAGUUUGGCCUUAAUCUAAUCGAGAAACAACUGUUUUUCAUACCAGACAAGCAACUACUCCUCUCUGACUCAAUGUGCCACACCAUUCACUCACCGCUGUAAUCCAUACACAUGUUCAGUACCUUUUGAAUUUUAUGCUCCCGCUUCUCCAUGUGUCAACCCCUUUGUUCCUUGUUGACCCUAGCUUGUCUUGAUGCAACAUCAAGCAACAACAAAAUAUUACACCUGAUACGACAUCAAGCUAUACAGGAACUAUUAGACCACCCAAAUUAUUGAAGCUUCAGAAUUUGUGUCUGGGUCCAUGCCUAAUAAACUGGAAGAAAACCAAAAGAUACUUAUUGAUAUGAAUCAACUUGGUUAAGUAUGGUCAAAUACAAUGCACGGUGGAAUAUCUGCCCUAGAAAACAAAAGAAAAGGAGAUGGAAGAAAUCAUGCACUCAAUGGGUGGCUGUAAGUUCACGGGUAUCAAGACUUGGCUCACAUAUCAUUGAUCAUGGGUCUGUGUCAAUAUGGCUCUGGUGCCCAGUUUAUCACGGUGUUUUGUUAUUAUUUCCGAGAUAGUACUUUCUAUUAUAGUGUUGAGAUAAGCAAUUUAGAUGUUUUAAAUAUUCCCAGCUCUUUGGAUAAGAAGUAUUUCAGUAACUGAAUAAUCUUUGACCGUCCAAAAGAACUAUGAUGUUUCUUUGGGAAUAACAACAGAACAAAAAAUCCGAGAAUCAUGGCUGACCUAUGAGGCGCAGAUGUUGUCGAGGACCUAUAACCAUGCCUCCUAUCCUUUGCGCAACCUUGAAACCACGAGUAAUUACCUGGCAUUAUUUCAUU
Molecule: long non-coding RNA, 918 nt
Filed under: Triticum aestivum (bread wheat)
Lineage: Eukaryota; Viridiplantae; Streptophyta; Magnoliopsida; Poales; Poaceae
Description: long non-coding RNA (TAES_LNC014700)
Source: RNAcentral